UCGGGGUGCAGCAGGCGCGAAAACUCCGCAAUGCGCGAAAGCGUGACGGGGGAACCCCAAGUGCCGUUGGACUUUUGUUCGACGGCUUUUAUGGAGUCUAGGAAGCUCCAGGAAUAAGGGCUGGGUAAGUCGGGUGCCAGCCGCCGCGGUAAUACCCGCAGCCCAAGUGGUGGUCGCGAUUAUUGGGCCUAAAGCGCUCGUAGCCGGGUUGGUAAGUCCCUUGUGAAAUCGGGCGGCUUAACCGUUCGGCUUGCAAGGGAUACUGCUAGUCUUGAGGCCGGGAGACGUCGAGGGUACUCUGAGGGUAGCGGUGAAAUGCUCUAAUCCUCGGGGGACCACCAGUGGCGAAGGCGCUUGACGAGAACGGACCUGACGGUGAGGGGCGAAGGCUAGGGGAGCGAACGGGAUUAGAUACCCCGGUAGUCCUAGCUGUAAAGUAUGCGGGCCAGGUGUCUGGUGUUCCUUGAGAGCACUAGGUGCCGGAGAGAAGUCGUUAAGCCCGCCGCCUGGGAAGUACGGUCGCAAGGCUGAAACUUAAAGGAAUUGGCGGGGGAGCACAAUCACUAGUGAAUU
RNAcentral lists this ribosomal RNA (573 nucleotides) under uncultured archaeon. Its description in RNAcentral is "bacterial SSU rRNA". It matches the Rfam family "Archaeal small subunit ribosomal RNA", at positions 325 to 894 of the family's 1478-position model. The record is from RNAcentral.